CCUACGGGAGGCAGCAGUGAGGAAUAUUGGUCAAUGGGCGAGAGCCUGAACCAGCCAAGUCGCGUGAGGGAGUACUGCCCUAUGGGUUGUAAACCUCUUUUGCCGGGGAGCAAAAGCCGGACGUGUCCGGCUGUGAGAGUACCCGCAGAAAAAGCAUCGGCUAACUCCGUGCCAGCAGCCGCGGUAAUACGGAGGAUGCGAGCGUUAUCCGGUUGUAUGGGGUUAAAAGGGGGCGGAGGCGGAUUUUUAAGUCAGCGGGAAAAUCGUGGGGCUCAACCCCAUCCAGCCGUUGAAACUGGGGAUCUAGAGUGUGCGAGAGGUAUGCGGAAUGCGUGGUGUAGCGGUGAAAUGCAUAGAUAUCACGCAGAACCACGAUUGCGAAGGCAGCAUAUCGGUGCACAACUGACGCUCAGGCACGAAAGCGUGGGUAUCGAACAGGAUUAGAUACCCUGGUAGUC
Molecule: ribosomal RNA, 458 nt
Filed under: uncultured bacterium
Lineage: Bacteria
Description: partial 16S ribosomal RNA
Rfam family: Bacterial small subunit ribosomal RNA
Source: RNAcentral